CUUAUCUGUAACUAACACACAAAAGGAAGACAGUGCUAUUUAUUUUAGAAUAUAAGUCCUUAGAGGUUUUCUAGAUGUUGUCCUUGUCCAGGUUGUCUAGAUGUAAUCCAUACACUCCUUCCUCUUUUCCAGUUUAGCAAAGGAUGUCCAGCCUCUUUAUGUUCUUGUGAAUAAAUGAUCUCCAGUGACACUUUCAAGAAUUUGGCAGGUCAGAAGGGGGACUGCUGCUGAGCCAGUAAGCCCUUGAGGGGAUGUGUUACCCAUGCAUGGGAGAGAUAGGGAUGGCAUGCUUCAAAGAACGACAGCGAUAAGACAGAGCCACCUCUGUGGCCAUUCUCACCAUCUGUGCCUCCUUCCCCAUCUCAGGUUCUCAUCAUAGCACUUUUUUUCCUGGUAAAUCCCCAGAAUAACCAGAUCUCUCUCUUUUCUUCCUAUGGUUCUUUUCUCCCAAGUCUGUUCAUGGAUUGAAAGCAUUAUGAUCUGUGUUAUGGUGUUGUGGAGAGAAUGUGUUGCUCAUUAAUGAAAGUUUGUUAUUGUGUUGCACUUUUAUUUUACAGAUAUUUGAGCAUGAUGAUAAAAGUUUUCUGAGCAAAGAUACCUUGGAAAUCAAAAAGCUGCAGGAGCAGAAUGCCAGCCUUCGGGCUGCUAUUGCACAAAUGAGGAAAGAAAUGGAGAAUCUUGAUCAGCAGGUGUUGUCCUCUCUUCCUCUGACAGAAAGCAGACAGCUUGCAGAACAAGGUUCAUUGUGCACAAACAACAUUUCAACUGCAAACACUUUGAGUAACACCAAAGUCAGCUCAGCUAACUUGGAUUGUGUAGUAAACCCAGACACAGAAAAGGGGCCAAACGCCAAAGUUCUUGAAGAAGAGAUGGUAGAUCUUGGACAGCAGUUACCUGACAUGGGUCCUGGUAUUGGUCUUCAGCAUGGUGUCAGCUGCACUCUACAAGGAAUGCAAAAUAAACUGAGGGAAGCUGCAAGAAAAAUCUCAAUUCUGAGCCAAGAGAAGCAGCAGCUGAUUGAAAUGGGAAACAGACUCAGGGCAGAACUUGGAAUGGUAUUAAAGGAAGGACUUUGGCAUCCUGUUAGCUCUAAGCGCUGCACAGUUUGUAUUGCCUCUGGUAGUCUUUUUCCAAGAGAGCUUGUCAAAAGAACACAGUGUCAGCUAUCAGCUUUAAAGCAUCUACAGCACAGGCUUACAACACAGGAGCUGCAGUUUGCAAAGCCACAGCAUCCCUCAAGGAUCUCUUCUCUGCUUGCCUGCCCUAGCUUAAAGGAAGCAGAAGGUCCAAGCAGCAGUGGGGAAGAAAAGGAAUUACCAUACACCAAGGUUCAGCUAGAUUUCUCUGUUGAAAAUCAUGGGCCAGAGCAACAAAAGGCAGAUAGAUCCUCAAAGAUCGGCCAAAGUCAGCCACUCAGGCAGAACCCUGGUCAAGCCCAGCAGGUCCAGCUUCCUUCAUCUCAAGCACGUGAUUUCUGCCAAGGGGAGUUUGCAGUUACACAUUCGACUGAGCAAUCUGAAGAAUCUCAGCAAAAUAUCAAAGCCAAGGAUAAACUGGAAAUGCCAGCUGCAGAUUUGACAGUCAGAGGAACCAGGCUGGAAGUUCAGAAGAAGUUAAAAUCCAGGAAUUUGUCUCCUGCUCGUAUCAUAAAACCAAAAAUCUCUUCUAACAUGGCAAAAAUCCGCAACUAUAAUAUUAGAGACUGAUUUCUUUGUUGGCAACACGUUCCAGGUCCACGCUUGCUAUUAAUUUACUUUGAAGUCUGUAAAUCAGAUGUGAAUACCGGCUUUGUUUUUAUAUGAGUUGGGACUCAUAUAAGAAGAAGAGAGAAAAACCACUCUGUUUCAUACUGUGAACCCUAAAAUAAAGGGUUAAUAUGUGAGAUUACA
Molecule: long non-coding RNA, 1889 nt
Filed under: Calidris pygmaea (Spoon-billed sandpiper)
Lineage: Eukaryota; Metazoa; Chordata; Aves; Charadriiformes; Scolopacidae
Description: lncRNA (ENSCPGG00000015299.1)
Source: RNAcentral